RNAcentral lists this unclassified non-coding RNA (407 nucleotides) under fungal sp. Its description in RNAcentral is "partial internal transcribed spacer region". The stretch from base 1 to 46 matches the Rfam family "Eukaryotic small subunit ribosomal RNA", at positions 1786 to 1831 of the family's 1831-position model. Lineage: Eukaryota; Fungi. The record is from RNAcentral.
AAGUCGUAACAAGGUUUCCGUAGGUGAACCUGCGGAAGGAUCAUUAAUGCUACUUUCCACUUGAGGGAAUUGCGCCCUGUUGCGAAUAAACAAGGUGUGGUUACGCUUCUAUCAGGUUAUGCUGCAGGGCGUAGUCAUUAUCGUUUUAUUUGCCUGUGCAAAGAUUCCCACAAGCGUGAACGUGUAUCUCUUAUCUUAAACGCUUAAGGAACUUUUUUUAAAGUUCCCUAACGUACCAAGUAACUUGAGAAGCCUUUGCUGUUUUUUCGGAGAUAGCAAAGUGUUUUUCUCACUUUUUUUUACUACCAUAAUUACCCUAUUAACUUAUAAACUAUUAGACUGAUAUAAAAUAACAUUUAUUUUAUAAAUGUAUGAUACAACUCUUAGCAAUGGAUAUCUAGGCUCUU